GGCAAGAUGGCCGAGCGGUCUAAGGCGCCAGACUAAGGAGACCAAGUCAUUGGAUGACUUAUUACAGCUUUGUAGCUAGUACAUCUGGUCCGAAAGGGCGUGGGUUCGAAUCCCACUCUCGUCA
The sequence is a transfer RNA, 124 nucleotides long. It matches the Rfam family "tRNA". Rfam says of the family: Transfer RNA (tRNA) molecules are approximately 80 nucleotides in length. The record is from Rfam.